RNAcentral lists this ribosomal RNA (443 nucleotides) under uncultured bacterium. RNAcentral's name for it is "partial 16S ribosomal RNA". It matches the Rfam family "Bacterial small subunit ribosomal RNA", at positions 338 to 795 of the family's 1533-position model. The record is from RNAcentral.
CCUACGGGGUGCAGCAGUGGGGCAUAUUGGGCAAUGGAUGAAACUCUGACCCAGCAACGCCGCGUGAAUGAUGAAGGUCUUCGGAUUGUAAAGUUCUUUUCUAAGGGAAGAAGGACGUGACGGUACCUUAGGCAUAAGCCUCGGCUAACUACGUGCCAGCAGCCGCUGUAAUACGUAGGCGGCGAGCGUUAUCCGGAAUGACUGGGCGUAAAGGGUGAGUAGGUGGUUUGGCAAGUUAGUAGCGUAACUCCAAGGCUCAACCUUGGAACUACUACUAAAACUGUUGGACGUGAGUGCAGGAGGGGCAACCGGAAUUCCGAGGGUAGCGGUGGAAUGCGUAGAUAUUAGGAGGAACACCAGUGGCGAAGGCGGGUUGCUAUACUGUAACGGACACUGAGGCACGAAAGCGUGGGGAGCAAACAGGAGUAGAUACCCUGGUAGUC